RNAcentral lists this small nuclear RNA (20 nucleotides) under Arabidopsis thaliana (thale cress). RNAcentral describes it as "snRNA_16958". The record is from RNAcentral. Lineage: Eukaryota; Viridiplantae; Streptophyta; Magnoliopsida; Brassicales; Brassicaceae.
AAUACGGGCGAGAGACCGAU